RNAcentral lists this ribosomal RNA (510 nucleotides) under uncultured bacterium. RNAcentral describes it as "partial 16S ribosomal RNA". It matches the Rfam family "Bacterial small subunit ribosomal RNA", at positions 28 to 507 of the family's 1533-position model. The record is from RNAcentral.
GACGAACGCUGGCGGCGUGCUUAACACAUGCAAGUCGAACGAAGAGCGACGGAAGCUUGCUUCUAUCAAUCUUCGUGUCGAACGGGUGAGUAACGCGUAAUCAACCUUCCCUUCAGAGGGGGACAACAGUUGGAAACGACUGCUAAUACCGCAUACGAUCUACCCUCGGCAUCGAGGAUAGAUGAAAGGUUGCCUCUACAUGUAAGCCAUCACUGAAGUAGGGGAUUGCGUCUGAUUAGCUAGUUGGAGGGGUAACGGCCCACCAAGGCGAUGAUCAGUAGGCGGUCUGAGGGGAUGAACGGCCAAAAUGGGACUGGGAAACGGCCCAGACUCCUAAGGGAGGGAGCAGGGGGGAAUCUUCCGCAAUGGAGGAAAGGCUGAAGGAGGAACGCCGCGGGAGGGAUGAAGGCCUUCGGGUUGGAAAGGUCUGUUAAUCGGGAAGAAAGGGCUGCUUGCGAAUAGUGAGAAGGAUUGACGGUACCGGAAGAGAAAGCAACGGCUAACUACGUG